CUCCCCAAACAUAACCAUUCCUGUGAAUUAACAAAAUACAUACUUAAAAGAUGCUACUUUAACUCUCUACUUUCAAAAUAGGCUGUGUACUUUUACACAUCUAGAAAAGCUAGAUGUUUCAAAUAAGGACUUAAGUUUGUCCAGUAUACAUACACGUAGCAGCAAUGAGUACACUGCACACAAAGGCUAUCUAGUCCAAAGUGUCAUCUAAAUAGAACCACUCUAGCCAAGAACCACACCCCUUCUCAUCUCUAGCAACCCAGUGGACAAAUCUAAUAAGCAUCUGUAAUGCUUAGAAGGGAUUUUAACAACUUCACUUCCACCAGUUGUUUUCAGAAUCUUUCCUAUGAAUUUUAAUAUAAAAUGUACCCAAUGUAUUUAUUUGCUAUUUUUUGUCACACACUGGCAAUCUCUUUAUAGAUGUUGUAAACUUGGACAUUUAUGCCUUAUGUACAGCAAUGAGAUCAAACUAGUCAAUCCUAAAGGAAAUCAACCCUUGGAAGGACUGAUGAUGAAGCUGAAGCUCCAAUACUUUGGCUACCUGAUGCGAAAAGCUGACUCAUUGGAAAAGACCCUGAUGUUGGGAAAGACUGAAGGCAGGAGGAGACGACAGAGGAUGAGACAGUUGGAUGGCACCGACUCAGUGGACAUGAGUUUGAGCAAGCUCCAGGAGAUGGUGAAGGACAGGGAAGCCUGGUGUGCUGCAGUCCAUGGGGUUGCAAAGAGUUGGACACAACUGAGCAACAAUACUUCAGUUCAGUCGCUCAGUUGUGUCCGACUCUUUGCAACCCCAUGAAUCACAGCACGCCAGGCCUCCCUGUCCAUCACCAACUCCCAGAGUUCACUGAGACUCACGUCCAUGGAGUCAGUGAUGCCAUCCAGCCAUCUCAUCCUCUGUCGUCCCCUUCUCAUCCUGCCCCGAAUCCUGCCCAGCAUCAGGGUCUUUUCCAAUGAGUCAACUCUUCACAUGAGGUGGCCAAAGUACUGGAGUUUCAGCUUUAGCAUCAUUCCUUCCAAAGAAAUCCCAGGGCUGAUCUCCUUCAGAAUGGACUGGUUGGAUCUCCUUGCAGUCCAAGGGACUCUCAAGAGUCUUCUCCAACACCACAGUUCAAAAGCAUCAAUUCUUCGGCGCUCAUGUAUACUAUAUACACAGGUAUGUAAAACAAAAUGCAGAGACACAUAAGGGACAAUGGUUAAUCUUGCUUCACUACAAACAUACUGGUAUAAACGCCCUGGUACUUUCUUUUUCCCUGAACCAGCACAAAUAAAAUAAUGUGUACUGCUCAGAGAGGUGGUUAAAUCAUUCCAUUUCUUAAAAGACAGUAAUUCAUAUGAAUUUUUUAAAAAGGAUAUAUCUACAAAAUAUAUUAUUUCAUGACCUCUAUUUUUAACAUACUUUGUGCACUUUUAAACAUCUAGAAAGACUAGAUGUUUCAAAUAAGAUGUUUCAAGUAAGACUAGAUGUUUCAAACUUAAGUUUAUCCACUAUACACACAGUAGUGUUGAAUAAACUAGACACAGGUAACAAUGGCUAUAUUCAAAAGUGUCCUCUACAAAGGAAUAUUCUAGUCUAGAAUCUUUCAUUUCUCCCAAUUCCUCCUUUUCACCAUCCAGCCAACAGUGGGCGGUAAACACAGGCACAUAUGUUACUUAGAUGUGGUUUACAAUUUCACUUCCAAAGGUCCUUUUCAGAAGACAGCCUUUCAAUGAAUUUUAACACAAAGUGUACAAAAUGUGUUAGUUUACUAACCCUAUUUUUGUCAUUCACUGGCAAUCUCUUUAAUAUCUAGAAACUAGAUAUUAUAAAAUUGGGACCCAUUUCUCCAGUAUAUAUACAUCAAAGUUAAACGAAAUACAUUUAACAUAAACGUUAAACUGAAAUGUUCUAGUACACAUCUUUUGCAAUCUUCCCUCCCACCUCCCUCAACCCAAUGAAAAAGAACAGAGUAUACUGUUCAGACAAGAGGUUUAACAAUUCCAUUUCCAGUAAGUGGUGGAUCUGUGCCAUUCAUAAAUGAAGGUGACCACAGCCUCAGGUGUGAUAUGACCAAGUCACACAGCAAGGAACAAAGAUCUAUCCGUCCAGCGUGUUGACAGCAGGAAUAGAGAUCUCCCCUUACACAUCUGAGCCAAGCAGCGGCCCAAGUAGGAAAGAAAUAUGAAGCUGUUUACAAAAGUGCUUCACUGUAACUGCGUAGAGGCUUUCACUCUGAAAAUUAGAUUUCAAAGAAAUUUAGGAGAAAGGCUAAAUCAAGAAAUAUACUAGGGAGUUACAGUUCAAGAUGAUGGAGUAGAAGCACAUGAGCUCAUCUCCUGCGAGAGCACCAAAUCACAACUAGCUGUUGAACAACCAUCAACAGGAGGACACUGGGACCACCAAAAAAAAAAAAGAUACCACACGUCUAAAGACAAAAAAGAAGCUGCAGCGAGACAGUAGGAGGGGAACAAUCAUGAUAAAAUCAAAUCCCAUACCUGCCGGGUGGGUGGCCCACAAACUGGAGAAUAAUAAUACCAAAGAAGUUCUUCCACUGUUGUGAAGGUUGUGAACCCUAUGUCAGGCCUCCCAGGCUGAGGAUCUGACAAAAGGACUGGGAAUCCCCAGGGAAUCUGACCUUGAAGACCAGUGGGAUUUGAUUACAGGACUUCCAUAGGACUGGGGGAAACAGAGAUUCCAGCCUUGGAGGGCACAAACAAAAUCUUGUGCACACCAAGACCGAGGAAAGGAGCAGCCACUCGACAGGAGACCGAACCAAAACUACCUGCUGGUAUGGAGGGCUCCUGUGGAGGCGUGGGUCAGCCGGACUCACCACAGGGAUGGGGGCACUG
Bos taurus (domestic cattle) is the source of this 2826-nucleotide long non-coding RNA. The record is from Ensembl. NCBI's taxonomy places the organism in Eukaryota, Metazoa, Chordata, Mammalia, Artiodactyla, Bovidae.